Molecule: small RNA, 518 nt
Filed under: Histoplasma ohiense
Lineage: Eukaryota; Fungi; Ascomycota; Eurotiomycetes; Onygenales; Ajellomycetaceae
Description: hypothetical lncRNA
Source: RNAcentral
GUUCUAAUAAUUCUAGUCACUUUACACUCUCAUUCUGAUUCUGGUCUCACUGAAAAUCACGCCAAGAAAUGGACUGAGACCAAAUCAAAUCAAAUCAAACUGUGAUGAGUUAGCAUCUGUUAGUAAUUAACUUACACAAUCAACUCCCCUCCUGCAUCUGCUUGUUUCUGGCUGUUGUGACCUUGUAUAACCCUCGAUGUUCUUCCACUCUGUGCUCCACACUUGUGUAGUUUCUAACAAUUCUUUUAUAUAGCUCUUAAUAUUCUUCCACUCUGUGCUCUGCACUUGUAUAGUCUCUAACAAUUCUUCUGUGUAGCUUCUUAUGUUCUUUCACUCUGUGUUUCACACUUAUAUAGUCUCUAAUAAUUCUUCUGUGUAGCUUCUUAUGUUCUCUCACUCUGUGUUCUAUGCUUGUGUAGCUUCUAAUGAUUCUUACAUGUAUCUCUUAAUGUUCUUUCACUUCACACUCCACUGUGAAGUGGCUUCUGAUAUUCUUUCACUCUGAACUUUUCUCUAUA